GAUGAACGCUGGCGGCAUGCCUAAGACAUGCAAGUCGAACGAGAAGACCUUUGGAAGACUGAGUGCUUGCACAAAGUUAGAAAAAGAUCAUCUUCUAGUGGCAGACGGGUGAGUAACACGUGGGUAACCUACCUUCAAGCUGGGGAUAACAGUUGGAAACGACUGCUAAUACCGAAUAAGAUAUAUAGCAAUAUAUAUUGAAAGAAGCCUCUAAAGCUUCACUUAAAGAUGGGCCUGCGGCGUAUUAACUAGUUGGUGAGGUAAUGGCUCACCAAGGUAACGAUGCGUAGCCGAACUGAGAGGUUGAACGGCCACACUGGGACUGAGACACGGCCCAGACUCCUACGGGAGACAGCAGUUAGGAAUAUUCGUCAAUGGGGGAAACCCUGAACGAGCAAUGCCGCGUGAGUGAUGAAGGCCCUAUGGGUUGUAAAACUCUGUUGUAUGGGAAGAACGGCGUAUAUUAGGAAAUGAAUAUAGAGUGACGGUACCAUACCAAG
RNAcentral lists this ribosomal RNA (500 nucleotides) under uncultured bacterium. RNAcentral describes it as "bacterial SSU rRNA". It matches the Rfam family "Bacterial small subunit ribosomal RNA", at positions 28 to 487 of the family's 1533-position model. The record is from RNAcentral.